Molecule: long non-coding RNA, 868 nt
Filed under: Cyanistes caeruleus (blue tit)
Lineage: Eukaryota; Metazoa; Chordata; Aves; Passeriformes; Paridae
Description: lncRNA (ENSCCEG00000003734.1)
Source: RNAcentral
GAAAAUGGGAAAUUCAGGGGGAAAGGGGAAAUUUUGAGGUGAAAAAAUGGAAUUUUUGGGUGGAAAAAUCCCAAAUUUGGGGCCCCGCCCCUCCCCCGACACCCAACGACCAUAAAUGGUUUUAUGCAAAUUUAUUUAAAUUAGGGAUCAACUCAUCAAAAAGGACCUUGAGGGGGGGAAUUUGGGGGGUCUCACUCUGGAUUUUGGGGUUUUUGGGGCUGUCAAUCAAAGUUUUGGGGUCAUUUUUCAGGAUUUUGGGGCUCGAAGUGGGCGGGGCCCCGAGGAAUUCACCGGGAUUGGGAUUUGGGGUUUGGAUUUGGGGAUUUUGGGGUCAAAUGUUGGGAUUUUGGGGUCAUUUAUUGGGAUUUUGGGGUCAUUUAUUGGGAUUUUGGGGUCAAUUGUUGGGAUUUUGGGGUCGGUUCUUGGGAUUUUGGGAUUUUGGGGUCAUUUAUUGGGAUUUUGGGGUCGGUUGUUGGGAUUUUGGGGUCGGUUGUUGGGAUUUUUGGGGUUGGUUGUUGGGAUUUUGGGGUCUCCAUUGGAAUUUUGGGAUUUUGGGGUCUGUACAGGGAUUUUUGGGGGUUUUUUGGGGGCGCUGAUGCAGAUUUUGGGGUCGGUUAUUGGGAUUUUGGGGUCACUGAUGGAGAUUUUGGGGUCUCUAUUGGGAUUUUGGGGUCAUUUAUUGGGAUUUCGGGGUCAGUUGUUGGGAUUUGGGGAUUUUGGGGUUGCCAAUGGAGAUUUUGGGGUCAAUUGUUGGGAUUUGGGGGCCAUUAUUGGGAAUUUGGGGGUUUUGGGGGCGCCGAUGCAGAUUUUGGGGUCGGUUAUUGGGAUUUUGGGGUCUGUACAGAAAUUUUGAGGUCAUUUAUUGAGA